ACCUAGGUGGCUCAAUUGGUUAAGCAUCUGACUUUGGCUCAGGUCAUAAUCUCAGGGUUUGUGAGUUCCAGCCCCACAUUGGGUA
This 85-nucleotide transfer RNA is filed under the name Felis catus (domestic cat). It matches the Rfam family "tRNA". From Rfam's summary of the family: Transfer RNA (tRNA) molecules are approximately 80 nucleotides in length. Their secondary structure includes four short double-helical elements and three loops (D, anti-codon, and T loops). The record is from Rfam by way of RNAcentral. Lineage: Eukaryota; Metazoa; Chordata; Mammalia; Carnivora; Felidae. RNAcentral also lists the same sequence under 4 other names.